Molecule: ribosomal RNA, 945 nt
Filed under: Cystodermella sp.
Lineage: Eukaryota; Fungi; Basidiomycota; Agaricomycetes; Agaricales; Squamanitaceae
Description: partial large subunit ribosomal RNA
Rfam family: Eukaryotic large subunit ribosomal RNA
Source: RNAcentral
ACUUAGCAUAUCAAUAAGCGGAGGAAAAGAAACUAACAAGGAUUCCCCUAGUAACUGCGAGUGAAGCGGGAAAAGCUCAAAUUUAAAAUCUGGCGGUCUUGGGCCGUCCGAGUUGUAAUCUAGAGAAGUGUUAUCCGCGCUGGACCGUGUACAAGUCUCCUGGAAUGGAGCGUCAUAGAGGGUGAGAAUCCCGUCUUUGACACGGACUACCAGGGCUUUGUGAUGCGCUCUCAAAGAGUCGAGUUGUUUGGGAAUGCAGCUCAAAAUGGGUGGUAAAUUCCAUCUAAAGCUAAAUAUUGGCGAGAGACCGAUAGCGAACAAGUACCGUGAGGGAAAGAUGAAAAGAACUUUGGAAAGAGAGUUAAACAGUACGUGAAAUUGCUGAAAGGGAAACGCUUGAAGUCAGUCGCGUUGUCCAGGGAUCAACCUUGCUUUUGCUUGGCGUACUUCCUGGUUGACGGGUCAGCAUCAAUUUUGACCGUUGGAAAAAGUUCAAAGGAAUGUGGCAUCCUUCUGGAUGUGUUAUAGCCCUUGAUCGUAUACAACGGUUGGGAUUGAGGAACUCAGCACGCCGAAAGGCCGGGCUUUUAGCCACGUUCGUGCUUAGGAUGCUGGCAUAAUGGCUUUAAUCGACCCGUCUUGAAACACGGACCAAGGAGUCUAACAUGCCUGCGAGUGUUUGGGUGGAAAACCCGAGCGCGCAAUGAAAGUGAAAGUUGAGAUCCCUGUCGUGGGGAGCAUCGACGCCCGGACCAGACCUUUUGUGACGGAUCCGCGGUAGAGCAUGUAUGUUGGGACCCGAAAGAUGGUGAACUAUGCCUGAAUAGGGUGAAGCCAGAGGAAACUCUGGUGGAGGCUCGUAGCGAUUCUGACGUGCAAAUCGAUCGUCAAAUUUGGGUAUAGGGGCGAAAGACUAAUCGAACCAUCUAGUAGCUGGUCCUGCGA